CAGAACGGACAAAAGUUUGAAUUUUCCCAAUAUCAAAAGUUAAUUAUCAUCGGGCUUCAACAAUCCAUGAAGUUACUACAUAGGCCAAUCCUAUAGGUUUUCAGCAAA
Molecule: long non-coding RNA, 108 nt
Organism: Ipomoea nil (Japanese morning glory)
Lineage: Eukaryota; Viridiplantae; Streptophyta; Magnoliopsida; Solanales; Convolvulaceae
Exons: 3
Source: RefSeq, a predicted model, not a curated record